This 460-nucleotide ribosomal RNA is filed under the name uncultured bacterium. RNAcentral's name for it is "partial 16S ribosomal RNA". It matches the Rfam family "Bacterial small subunit ribosomal RNA", at positions 338 to 795 of the family's 1533-position model. The record is from RNAcentral.
CCUACGGGUGGCAGCAGUGAGGAAUAUUGGUCAAUGGCCGCAGGGCUGAACCAGCCAAGUCGCGUGAGGGAUGACGGUCCUAUGGAUUGUAAACCUCUUUUGUCAGGGAGCAAAGGGCGCCACGUGUGGCGUUUUGCGAGUACCUGAAGAAAAAGCAUCGGCUAACUCCGUGCCAGCAGCCGCGGUAAUACGGAGGAUGCGAGCGUUAUCCGGAAUCAUUGGGAGUAAAGAGUUCGUAGGCGGUAUGUUAAGUCUGGUGUUAAAUGCAGAAGCUCAACUUCUGUUCGGCACUGGAUACUGGCAAACUAGAAUGCGGUAGAGGUAAAGGGAAUUCCUGGUGUAGCGGUGAAAUGCUUAGAUAUCAGGAGGAACAUCGGUGGCGUAAGCGCUUUACUGGGCCGUAAUUGACGCUGAGGAACGAAAGCCAGGGUAGCAAAUGGGAUUAGAUACCCUGGUAGUC